CUAGUAUUCUUUUCUAGUAUGUUUUUUUGAGUAAGGUGGCCUGAUAUAUAUUUGCCAGUAGAAAUAGCUAAUAGCAUGCAUUUUACAAAAAAACAUACUAGAAAAGAAUACUAGGAUCUGCAAAUGUGCCAAUCAUCUCACAGAGUAUCUAUAUUCUCGAAUGACUAGAUAAUCUGAAACUGAAACUCACAGCUUCAACCUUCCAAAAUGCACUAAUGAAAAUAAAAAUAGACAACAGAACUCCUUACAAAAUCACUGUUUUACACAUGACUCGCGUUCCUGCAACUUCCUCCAUUAAUAUGUUUAGUGUCCAUCAUUAACUUGAACAAGGUUUCUUCACAGGUCAGGCAUGCCCUUCCCAGUUUUAGCAUCAUAAGUCCUCUCCAACACAAGAUCGAUUGGAGUAUCCUUAGGACCAGCUACGGUAGGUCUUGGAGUAGUCCUAAUCUUCAAAAUCUCAGGGCGAGGAAUUAUAGACCCAGAUGCCCCUAGACCUCUAGAAACUCUUACUUUGGUACCAUCUUCUAGAUAUCUAAUUCCGACCUUGCAAGGUUUCCCAGUCACUGGGUCAAGAACUUGAACAUUUGAGGCAUGGAGUGGGGCUUCAACCGUAAAGAUCCCACCUUCAUGACCUUCACCUGCCUUGAUGUGCUUUUUCACCAGAUUUUUUCCCUCAACAAUAACACGAUUUUGAGAACGAAUGACACGCUUAAUAACACCAGUCUCAC
Molecule: unclassified non-coding RNA, 728 nt
Filed under: Hevea brasiliensis (rubber tree)
Lineage: Eukaryota; Viridiplantae; Streptophyta; Magnoliopsida; Malpighiales; Euphorbiaceae
Source: RNAcentral